CCUACGGGAGGCAGCAGUGAGGGAUAUUGGUCAAUGGGGGAAACCCUGAACCAGCCACGCCGCGUGAGGGAAGACGGUUUUCGGAUUGUAAACCUCUGUCCUCUGUGAAGAUGAUGACUGUAGCUGAGGAUGAAGCUCCUGCUAACUCCGUACCAGCAGCCGCGGUCAUACGUCGGGGGCAAGCGUUGUCCGGAUUUACUGGGUGUAAAGGGUUCCUGGGCGGCUUUGUAAGUCAGAAGUGAAAUCCAUGGGCUUAACCCAGGAACUGCUUUUGAAACUGGAGAGCUUGAGUGGAGUAGAGGUAGGCGGAAUUCCCGGUGUAGCGGUGAAAUGCGUAGAGAUCGGGAGGAACACCAGUGGCGAAGGCGGCCUGCUGGGCUCUAACUGACGCUGAGGCACGAAAGCGUGGGUAGCAAACAGGAUUAGAUACCCGGGUAGUC
RNAcentral lists this ribosomal RNA (440 nucleotides) under uncultured bacterium. RNAcentral describes it as "partial 16S ribosomal RNA". It matches the Rfam family "Bacterial small subunit ribosomal RNA", at positions 338 to 795 of the family's 1533-position model. The record is from RNAcentral.